RNAcentral lists this long non-coding RNA (286 nucleotides) under Mus spicilegus (steppe mouse). RNAcentral describes it as "lncRNA (ENSMSIG00000022741.1)". The record is from RNAcentral. Lineage: Eukaryota; Metazoa; Chordata; Mammalia; Rodentia; Muridae.
CUCUUGUUCAGAGUUCUACUACAAUCCUGUCUCUCUGAAGCUAAUCAAUAGUUAUUUAUGCCCUGCAGACCUCCAAAGAAAGCCUACCUCAUAAAUUGCACUCAAGGCAUUUUGGAAGCCUCUGGAUCUAAGGCGGUUUAUAAGGACCUUCUGUCAAGUGGACCACCCUGCAUGCACACACAUGUCUAUGAUCUACAGAACAGUCAUUAUUAGAGUCACUCAGAAACAAACAGGUACAACCUUGGAAGAUCUCUCCUAUAACAGUGAUCCUGAUAUUAUCUUCCAG